GGUCUUAUGGUGUAGUCGGUUAUCACACUGGAUUUUGAUUCCAGUAACCCGAGUUCGAAUCUCGGUAAGACCU
This 73-nucleotide transfer RNA is filed under the name Coemansia sp. RSA 2320. Its description in RNAcentral is "tRNA-Gln". It matches the Rfam family "tRNA". Rfam says of the family: Transfer RNA (tRNA) molecules are approximately 80 nucleotides in length. Their secondary structure includes four short double-helical elements and three loops (D, anti-codon, and T loops). RNAcentral also lists the same sequence under 2 other names. The record is from RNAcentral. Lineage: Eukaryota; Fungi; Kickxellomycota; Kickxellomycetes; Kickxellales; Kickxellaceae.